Molecule: ribosomal RNA, 450 nt
Filed under: uncultured bacterium
Lineage: Bacteria
Description: partial 16S ribosomal RNA
Rfam family: Bacterial small subunit ribosomal RNA
Source: RNAcentral
GUGGGGAAUUUUGGACAAUGGGGGCAACCCUGAUCCAGCCAUUCCGCGUGAGUGAAGAAGGCCUUCGGGUUGUAAAGCUCUUUCGGCAGGAACGAAACGGUGAGCUCUAACAUAGCUCGCUAAUGACGGUACCUGAAGAAGAAGCACCGGCUAACUACGUGCCAGCAGCCGCGGUAAUACGUAGGGUGCGAGCGUUAAUCGGAAUUACUGGGCGUAAAGCGUGCGCAGGCGGUUGUGUAAGACAGGUGUGAAAUCCCCGGGCUUAACCUGGGGACUGCGCUUGUGACUGCACGGCUAGAGGAUGGCAGAGGGGGGUGGAAUUCCACGUGUAGCAGUGAAAUGCGUAGAGAUGUGGAGGAACACCGAUGGCGAAGGCAGCCCCCUGGGCCAAUACUGACGCUCAUGCACGAAAGCGUGGGGAGCAAACAGGAUUAGAAACCCUUGUAGUCC